UGCAUAUCAAUAAGCGGAGGAAAAGAAACUAACAAGGAUUCCCCUAGUAACGGCGAGUGAAGAGGGAAGAGCCCAAGAUUGAAAGCUGGCGUCUUCGGCGUCCGCAUUGUAAUCUCAAGAAGUGUUUUCCGCUUCGGACCAAGCCUAAGUCCCUUGGAAAAGGGCAUCAUAGAGGGUGAUAAUCCCGUACAUGGCUUGGAGCGCCCGAGGCUUUGUGAUACGCUUUCUAAGAGUCGAGUUGUUUGGGAAUGCAGCUCAAAAUGGGUGGUAAAUGCCAUCUAAGGCUAAAUAUUGGGGAGAGACCGAUAGCGAACAAGUACAGUGAUGGAAAGAUGAAAAGAACUUUGAAAAGAGAGUUAAACAGUACGUGAAAUUGCCAAAAGGGAAGGGUAGGAGGUCAGAGAUGCGGCCUGGGAUUCAGCCUUGCUUUUGCUUGGUGUUUUUCCCAGAUUGCAGGCCAACGUCGGUUUUGGGCACUGGAGAAGGGUAGGAGGAACGUGGCACCCCUCGGGGUGUGUUAUAGCCUCCUACUGGAUACAGCGACCGAGACCGAGGACAGCAGCGUACUCGUAAGAGCGGGCCUUCGGGUACCUUUACGCUUAGGGCGUUGGCAUAAUGGCCCUCUACCACCCGUCUUGAAACACGGACCA
RNAcentral lists this ribosomal RNA (650 nucleotides) under Moesziomyces antarcticus. RNAcentral describes it as "LSU rRNA". It matches the Rfam family "Eukaryotic large subunit ribosomal RNA", at positions 37 to 668 of the family's 3401-position model. Lineage: Eukaryota; Fungi; Basidiomycota; Ustilaginomycetes; Ustilaginales; Ustilaginaceae. The record is from RNAcentral.